RNAcentral lists this long non-coding RNA (4769 nucleotides) under Salmo salar (Atlantic salmon). RNAcentral describes it as "lncRNA (ENSSSAG00000098213.1, ENSSSAG00000113687.1)". The stretch from base 2337 to 2382 matches the Rfam family "Histone 3' UTR stem-loop". The record is from RNAcentral. Lineage: Eukaryota; Metazoa; Chordata; Actinopteri; Salmoniformes; Salmonidae.
GGGUAACUGCAUGCUUUUAGUGAUCAGUAAACAUCAAUGAUCAUGUAAUUUAAGGUAGGUGAAGGCACCUAUCCAUUUGAUAUGUAGCUAAGCAAACAACAUCAUUUAGUUUGCUUCAUCAGAGAUGAGGCUUUUGGAAAAAGCUUAGUAUCGGCAAGUCCUCGUCCUGGUAAAGUUGUCGGACUACUUUGUCAUCACGGAAAGCAAAUCAAACAAUAUUUGGAUGUAGCCAUCUAGUCUAUCCCCUGAAAGUUAGCUUGUUAACACCCUUUCUGCCAGUCACAUCCUGUUAUAGGUCCCCAAAACACUCACAUCCCUGGGUCGCUCCUCUUUUCAGUUCGCUGCUGCUAGCGACUGGAACGAGCUGCAACAAACACUCAAACUGGACAGUUUUAUCUCCAUUUCUUCAUUCCAAGACUCAAUCAUGGACACUCUUACUGACCGUUGUGGCUGAUUUGAGUGAUGUAUUGUUGUCUCUACCUUCUUGACCUUUGUGCUGUUGUCUGGGACCAACAAUGUUUGUAUCCUGUUUUGUUUUUCUACCAUGUUCUGCUACCAUGUUGUGUUUCUACCAUGUUGUGUUUCUACCAUGCUGUGGUGUCAUGUGUUGCUGCUAUGCUAUAUUGUUGUCUUAGGUCUCUCUUUUAGUAGUGUUGUCUCUCUUGUCGUGAUGUGAGUUUUGUCCUAUAUAAAUAAGAAUUUGUUCUUAAUUGACUUUCCUAGUUAAAUCAAGGUUAAAUAAAAAAUAAAACAAAUUGACAUUGAUUUGUUAUUAGCUAGCUAGCCAAUUUUACGUGGUCAAUCAAUCAAUUAAUGUAGCCUAUCUUGUCAGCAGAAAUCCUAAUGAAACACUCUUAAAAACAAUAUUGAAAUGGAGAUCAUGUCAGCUAAUUUCUCUAGGUAGGCCUACAUUGGUUUUAGAAAAAAAAAUGACACUAGGUUUACUUACCAGUAUAUGUUUAGCCAACUGUACAAAGUUUCUACCGGUAUCUUGCAAAGUAAACAUAAUCAGUCAUUAUGGCUCGUUUUCACUAACAAGCGGUACAUGACCGUGUGCCGGUUAGGCCACAGAGAGAGGCUCGCUUGUUGGCAGCACAGUUUGAUUGUGGGUCAAGAAUCCAGCAGAGCAAGUUUGUAGGAAGGUCUAGUUACAUUUUAGUCAUUUAGCAGACACUCUUAUCCAGAGCAACUUACAGUAGUGAGUGCAUACAUUUCAUACAUUUUAUUUUUGUACUGGCCCCCUGUGGGAAUUGAACCCACAACCCUGGCGUUGCACACACCAUGCUGGCAUUGCAAACACCAUGCUCUACCAACUGAGCCACAGGGAAGACCAGUUAUUCAAUUGGUAAAUAGUAAUAUGCUCUAAAACGCUCUGGUGACAAACAAACUUCACUGCCCUGUUUCCAAUCGUCCACAUGUCUGGGAGAAGCUAUUCAAGAAGGUAAAUAUAUUUUGAAAAUGUAAAAAAAAAAAAAAAUGUAUUAUUAGCUAACUAGCUACAGUGCAGGCUAACUCAAAUGAGCUGCUAACAUGGCUAACUAGCUAUCUAGCCAACUUUACAUACUGUAUAGAUAGCUAGCUAAUUGAAUUAAAUAUCACCACCUACAUAACUUCAUAUUCGCUAGCUAUCUUGAUGUAUUUAUCACUGUAAAAAUAACUCUAAAUGCAUUUGUAGGUAGCUAGCUAACAGCUAUGGAGGACGGUGACAGGAUAGCAGCCCCAACUGUCAGUGAGAGAGUAGGCUAUUCUGGAUAGACCAAGUACUUUUGUCUAGUUCCUGUCCCUGGAAGUGAGGACAGAGAUAAUAGAAAUGAGGACAGAGAUAAUAGCAACAUAAUAUUUAGUGCAGUCCAUUUGACUAUAAUGAAGUCUGUAUCUUGUGAGGUUUUCUGUCCUCAGAUACAUAGAGCUGUGAAAGCCUGUCAAGCAGAUGAAGAGGUCCCACUGAAGAGUAGUGGCUCUCAGUCCUGGUCCUGUAUUCAUUUGUGAUGCUAUCCUUGAUAUGAUCUUGCUAUUGUCACAUGCACAUUUACGUGUAGGGCACUGCAAGGUUGGGUGACCAGGGCCAUCUGGGACUUCCUCCUGGAGGAAUUCAGAUGUGUGUGAAGGCUACCUGUGUCCUGCAUAACUUCAUGAGGAUGGACAGGAGGACCAGGAGGGGAUCUGCAGCUCGCCGCCGCGUGCCAGAGUAGAAGUCUGCUGCUCUGCAGGAUGUUUCAAGGAUGGGGUCCAACAACGUAGCAAGAGAGGCAAUCCGUGUGCAAGAGAUCUUCACCUCCUACUUCUUCGAAGAGGGUGCUGUUCCCUGGCAACACCAUAGACUACACUAUGCACAACCAAAGGCUCUUUUAAGAGCUAUUCACAUUGCAAUAAGAGUAUUCUUCCAUUUACUGAGCUAUGUCAACUGCAGUUAUUCAAUUCACAGUUUCUCUCCCUUUGAUUUCUACUUCUCAGGUGAGGGUGCUGUUUAGGUAAGGGUGUGAUGUCUGUACAAAAACAAUACAGGCUAUUUUAAGUCACCCAUAUUGAAACAAUUAGACACCCUAUAACCCAUACCUACACAGUCAUGUAUCAAUCUGAUUGAUGGAUUGUGUUGUGUUGUGCAGUAAGCAGGCUCAGGCGUAUAACUGUGGCUCCUUCCACCUUCAAAGAAUAGGCAAGAGGGCCAACCAUGGAGAAUAGUUAUAUCAGCUGUGGUUCGUGAACCCCUCCUGCAUCUGAACUGGCUGACAUAUAGAGGGCACAGCAUGAUCAGAGGUAUGAUUUGAUGUGAGGAUGCCAACCCCCAGUCCUGUCAUCGCCACCUCACCUGCUUGAAGAUAACCUUCGGUCUGACGAGAGACACUAUUAUGUAAUUGUGAUGAACUGAGAGAAUAUUUAGGUAGCACUGUGAUUCAUUAAUCAUUUGCUGCCUUCCCUGCUCCUAUGUUCUUACCUCUUUCCCUUUCUGUCUUUUACACCUCUCUCACCACCUCCUCUUUCUUCCUCUGUUUUUAUAAUGCACAAUAUAGAUGUGCAUUGAAGUAAAGAUAAAACUUACAUUUAUAAUAUAAUAUUCCAAUUAUAAUAUUUAUAAUGCAUGUAUUUAUAACACUUGGAUAAUGAAAUUCUUUCAAUAAAGCAUUUCAAAUUCUCUACUGGUUGAAAUUAAGUCUCAUUUGAUGAAAUACCACACCUAUCCUGUGUUUAUCAGAUCCAUGCAGAUGAAGGAAAUUAGAUAUUGAGAUGACCUGUUGUUAGAGUAUUUACAUGAUGCAUAAGAAGUGUAGUGUGCUGAUUUUUUAAUUAUAUUUCUGUAUAUAUGAAUUACAAAUCGGCCUUUAACUAGUUAAAUCAUGUGUAACCAUUGAUAUCCCAGGACCAAGAUUGGUAAACACUGUUGAAGUGUAUAAUUGUAAUACAUACAUGCAUUGAAGACACGGCAUCAUUCAAAGACUGGAAUUUGAUACUCCUGGUAUUGGAUAUGACUGAAAAAUGAUCUCAAAGACAUUCAUACCUGAACUGCACCUUUAUUUGCCAAGGUAGAGUACAUGAUCAGUGAAUAUUUAUUAUUAUUAUAUAUAUUUUAAAUUUUUCACCCCUUUUUUCUCCCCAAUUUUGUGGUAUCUAAUUGGUAGUUACAGUCUUGUCUCAUCGCUGCAACUCCCGUACGGACUCGGGAGAGGCGAAGGUCGAGAGCCGUGCGUCCUCCGAAACACAAUCCAACCAAGCCGCACUGCUUCUUGACACAACGCCCAUCCAAACCGGAAGCCAUCCGCACCAAUGUGUCGGAGGAAACACCGUACACCUGGCGACAUGUGUCAGCGUGCACUGCGCCUGGCCCGUCACAGAAGUUACUAGUGCGCGAUGAGACAAGGAUAUCCCUGCCGGCCAAACCCUCCCUAACCUGGACGACGCUGGGCCAAUUGCGCACCGCCCCAUGGGCCUCCCAGUCGCGGCCGGCUGCGACAGAGCCUAGACUCGAACCCAGAAUCUCUUAGACCACUGCGCCACUCGGGAGGCCCAUGAUCAGUGAAUAUAUUAAAUGUACAGGCUACAAUGUGGGGAUCUCAUGCAUGGUAAUAACUACAUGUAUAUACGACUUGCAUCCUUGGCACAAAGUGAAAUUAUAUUGUACUCAAUCCAUAGGCUUCAUUAGUGUCAUUCAGGCUGUUUUGAAGUUGAUACAACUGGCUAUGAUAGCUGAGGUUCAUAGCUACGUGGGUGCUGAACUAAUAUGUAUACCAAACGUUUUAAGGUCCAUACACAGAUCGGCUACAUAGCGAGCUACACAUCCAGGUACCUUUAUCCUCCACUGCACAAUAAGCAAGAAAAUAGUUAGCUAGCUAUGUUAUUUCAUCUAUCUGCAUUGCAUGGCAAAAAUCAGCAAGGCAAGCUUACAAAAUUGUACACUCAAUUUGCAGUAAAUGCUUCAGCUAGAUAGAUUCUUUACAUCCACUGUUUCACAAGAUGACUGCCUGGUAUGCUAUCGGUUGAUUCAGGAGUCCCUAAAACAUGAAACAACCAGAAUUACAAUUUCAUACUAGUGUCACCACACCCAUAAAGCUAGCCUGCUGGCUGGCUAAUGUUAGUUAGUCAGCUAGCUUGCUAAAUCACAAUUUUCGUAAAUUAACUUAAUAAUAAAUAAAAAAAAUAUGCGUAAUCGUUUGUCUCUAUAUUAACUAACAUAUUCCUCUCAACUGUACAUUUUUUUGCAUGAUUCGUUAUGACAUUAUAAUCACAUUUGCUUCCAUCCUGGUAUUUUUGUCAGCCAUCUUUGCUGAAGAAAG